RNAcentral lists this long non-coding RNA (368 nucleotides) under Mytilus galloprovincialis (Mediterranean mussel). Lineage: Eukaryota; Metazoa; Mollusca; Bivalvia; Mytilida; Mytilidae. The record is from RNAcentral.
UAAUUUCUUUGAUCUUAGAUAAACUUCUUAUUUUAUUUACACUUAUUUCCCAGGAGAUGAAUUAUCAUAAAAACUAAUUAGAAUCAGUUUGUUUUGCCUGCACUUGUCUACUUUAAUUACCCUUAGGAACACAAAUGCAGCUUUCUUCCGAUUAAAGUGCACAAAACAAAAUUUGCUCAGUUGAUAAAAACUGGAACACUAUAAAAAAAAAUAGUUUGUAAAUUAUAGUAGGACCUGAGGUUGCUAAUGCACUUUUAUUUUAUUUACAUUAAAAUGGCAGAGAAUGAUUAUAAUAAAUAAACUAUGGAUAACACAUUAAUCUCCUGUUUCUGAAAUGCAUUGAAAACAAAAAAGAAAUGGACAGCCAG